UCCUACGGGAGGCAGCAGUGGGGAAUUUUGCACAAUGGGCGGAAGCCUGAUGCAGCGACGCCGUGUGGGGGAUGAAGGCCUUCGGGUUGUAAACUCCUUUCGUCAGGGACGAAGUUUUUUUGACGGUACCUGGAUAAGAAGCACCGGCUAACUACGUGCCAGCAGCCGCGGUAAU
Molecule: ribosomal RNA, 175 nt
Filed under: uncultured bacterium
Lineage: Bacteria
Description: partial 16S ribosomal RNA
Rfam family: Bacterial small subunit ribosomal RNA
Source: RNAcentral